CCUACGGGAGGCAGCAGUGAGGAAUAUUGGUCAAUGGACGAAAGUCUGAACCAGCAAAGUCGCGUGAAGGAUGACUGCCCUAUGGUUUGUAAACUUCUUUUAUAUGGGAGUAAAAUGUUCCACGUGUGGGAUUUUGUAUGUACCCUAUGAAUAAGGAUCGGCUAACUCCGUGCCAGCGGCCGCGGUAAUACGGAGGAUCCGCGCGUUGUCCGGAUUUAUUGGGUUUAAAGGGAGCGUAGGUGUGUGGUUAAGUCAGUUGUGAAAGUUUGCGGCUCAACCGUAAAAUUGCAGUUGAAACUGGCAGUCUUGAGUACAGUAGAGGUGGGCGGAAUUCGGGGUGUAGCGGUGAAAUGCUUAGAUAUAACGAAGAACUCCGAUUGCGAAGGCAGCUCACUGGACUGCAACUGACACUGAGGCUCGAAAGUGUGGGUAUCAAACAGGAUUAGAUACCCGAGUAGUC
This 460-nucleotide ribosomal RNA is filed under the name uncultured bacterium. Its description in RNAcentral is "partial 16S ribosomal RNA". It matches the Rfam family "Bacterial small subunit ribosomal RNA", at positions 338 to 795 of the family's 1533-position model. The record is from RNAcentral.